GACGAACCGUGCGAACGUUGUUCGGAAUCACUGGGCUUAAAGGGCGCGUAGGCGGCAUAGCAAGUCCGGGGUGAAAGCCCCCAGCUCAACUGGGGAAGUGCCUUGGAAACUGCAGUGCUGGAGGGAGGUAGGGGUCGAGGGAACUUCUGGUGGAGCGGUGAAAUGCGUUGAUAUCAGAAGGAACGCCGGUGGCGAAAGCGCUCGACUGGACCUUUUCUGACGCUGAGGCGCGAAAGCUAGGGGAGCAAACGGG
This 253-nucleotide ribosomal RNA is filed under the name uncultured bacterium. RNAcentral describes it as "partial 16S ribosomal RNA". It matches the Rfam family "Bacterial small subunit ribosomal RNA", at positions 524 to 776 of the family's 1533-position model. The record is from RNAcentral.